RNAcentral lists this ribosomal RNA (917 nucleotides) under uncultured bacterium. RNAcentral describes it as "bacterial SSU rRNA". It matches the Rfam family "Bacterial small subunit ribosomal RNA", at positions 21 to 901 of the family's 1533-position model. The record is from RNAcentral.
GGCUCAGAACGAACGCCGGCGGCGUGGCUAAGACAUGCAAGUCGUACGGACCUCAGUAGCAAUAUUGAGGUUAGUGGCGAAAGGGUGAGUAAUGAAUGGGUAACGUACCCUGAACUCGGGGAUAACAGCGCCCGAAAGGGCUUUAGCGAAAGUGCUGCUAAUACCCGAUGACAUCCCGGGAUCGCAUGGUUCUGGGAUCAAAGCCGGGGACCCGCAAGGGCCUGGCGGUUUGGGCGCGGCCCAUUUCCUAUCAGCUAGUUGGCGAGGUAACGGCUCACCAAGGCUUCGACGGGUAGCCGGACUGAGAGGUUGGCCGGCCACAUCGGGACUGAGACACUGCCCGGACACCUACGGGUGGCUGCAGUAACGAAUAUUGGGCAAUGGGCGCAAGCCUGACCCAGCGACGCCGCGUGCAGGAGGAAGUCCUUCGGGAUGUAAACUGCUGUCAGGGGCUAACAAGCAAAGGGUGUUAACAGCAUCCGGCGUUGAGUCGCCCCAGAGGAAGCCACGACUAACUCUGUGCCAGCAGUCGCGGUAAUACAGAGGUGGCAAGCGUUGUUCGGAAUCACUGGGCUUAAAGCGCGUGUAGGCGGACCGGAAAGUGUCGUGUGAAAGCCCCUGGCUCAACCAGGGAACUGCGCGGCAAACUCCCGGACUUGAGGCUGGUAGAGGUGCCUGGAACUCUCGGUGGAGCGGUGAAAUGCGUAGAUAUCGAGAGGAACGCCGGAGGCGAAAGCGGGGCACUGGGCCAGUUCUGACGGUGAGACGCGAAAGCGUGGGGAGCAAACAGGAUUAGAUACCCUGGUAGUCCACGCCGUAAACGAUGCACACUAGACGUCGGACCCUCUGACGGGACCGGCGUCGCAGCAAAAGUCCUAAGUGUGCCGCCUGGGGAGUACGGCCGCAAGGCUAAAACU